Molecule: long non-coding RNA, 666 nt
Organism: Ostrea edulis (European flat oyster)
Lineage: Eukaryota; Metazoa; Mollusca; Bivalvia; Ostreida; Ostreidae
Exons: 3
Source: RefSeq, a predicted model, not a curated record
UUCCCCAGGAGCCCAAACAGCAAGUCUGGAAGGCUUUCAUUCCGUAAUCAAUCACUUUGCUCCAAAAAUGUUUGGAUUUUCAUACCAUGGGAUGUUAAGCAGAUAAAAAAUUGCUGCCCUUCAUUACAAUGAAAAUGCUAUGCGAGAGCAAGCAUUUACCAAAGAUGGACAAGCACAAUAUAAUAUUGUGUAUCCAAAGUUCAAAAAGGGUGGAUUCACAGUUCGCGAGGUGAAAAUAGGUUGCACAUAUGGUUAUGUCAGCAAGCUUAUGGACAUUGUGUUUUCCAAUGCCAGAAAAACUAAAUUAAGUCAUGUAGAAGUGGACGGAAUUGCAGCGCCUCCUCCUCUCUGCAGUUCAUUUGAAAAACCUGACAAAGCGUCAGCGACUCUAGAGAUGACAUCGCGUUAUACUAAUAAUAGACAGGCCGAAAAUUAUGAAAUGGCUGAUGAUGGUUGCUGUUGAUGGUUAAUCGUGAUCCUGAAAACCAACAUAAGCAUCUUGGGGUGAAGGAAAACGACUUCGUAUUUGGUUAACAGCACAUGCUGGCAAAACCACCCUCACAUGCUUCCCAAGGUAUCCCCAUGUCCAUCUCACGAGCUGCCUGUAGCUAGUAUACCUAUAUCGUCUGAAAAGGACAUUAAUUAUUCAAUUUUAUUCAUGUUUGC